GUGGGGAAUAUUGGACAAUGGGCGAAAGCCUGAUCCAGCCAUGCCGCGUGUGUGAAGAAGGUCUUCGGAUUGUAAAGCACUUUAAGUUGGGAGGAAGGGCAGUAAGUUAAUACCUUGCUGUUUUGACGUUACCGACAGAAUAAGCACCGGCUAACUUCGUGCCAGCAGCCGCGGUAAUACGAAGGGUGCAAGCGUUAAUCGGAAUUACUGGGCGUAAAGCGCGCGUAGGUGGUUUUGUAAGUUGGAGGUGAAAUCCCCGGGCUCAACCUGGGAACUGCUUUCAAAACUGCUGAGCUAGAGUACGGUAGAGGGUGGUGGAAUUUCCUGUGUAGCGGUGAAAUGCGUAGAUAUAGGAAGGAACACCAGUGGCGAAGGCGACCACCUGGACUGAUACUGACACUGAGGUGCGAAAGCGUGGGGAGCAAACAGGAUUAGAAACCCGGGUAGUCC
This 450-nucleotide ribosomal RNA is filed under the name uncultured bacterium. RNAcentral's name for it is "partial 16S ribosomal RNA". It matches the Rfam family "Bacterial small subunit ribosomal RNA", at positions 354 to 796 of the family's 1533-position model. The record is from RNAcentral.